CUAAUUAUAUGGCCACUACUGUAUGCUUGUGUAAAAUACUCCUUGACAUAAUUUUUUUUUAAGUUAAUAUGGCCUAAAAUAUGGAGAAACUUGUUAAGAAAACUUUGUCGGUUAUGGCCCAGUACAAUUGGUUUCAUUGAUUGUCCAUCAUAUAUUUAUUGGGUGACAUACGAAAAAGUUUCUACGCCACCGACACUUGUUGACACAUCUGCGACACACAUAUUCCGUUACAGGCGUGAUAACGUCCGGAGAUCUCACUCAAUUUAAACCUUAUUAAAACUUAAUAGGUUGACUAAGGAAAAUUGCACAAUCGCUCGAUGGGCCACGCUCAAUAUUGCCCUUAUUAUUAUAUAUUGCCCUUGAAGUUAUAUUGCCCAUACUAUAAUAAGUACGCUAUGAUUAUCGGUUUGUUAGUGCUGGAUACGACUUCGAAGUUUCCUCAAUUAACAAUGGAAACAGUGGACAAAUAACUGAUAGCGCCUGAUGAUUUGCAUCGAAGAAGCCAAGGACGCUAGCAUCUGACAGGAAUGGAUGGAAAAAAUAUACACACGUCACUGAACAAAGAAAAUAAAGAAACGAAAAUAAAUCAUAUAUAAUAAAUAUACCGUAAA
Molecule: long non-coding RNA, 611 nt
Organism: Stomoxys calcitrans (stable fly)
Lineage: Eukaryota; Metazoa; Arthropoda; Insecta; Diptera; Muscidae
Exons: 2
Source: RefSeq, a predicted model, not a curated record